AGAGUUUGAUCAUGGCUCAGAACGAACGUUGGCGGCGUGGAUUAGGCAUGCAAGUCGAACGCGAAAGAGGUAGCAAUACCUUGAGUAAAGUGGCGAACGGGUGAGUAACGCGUAGGAAACCUGCCUUCGAGUGGGGGAUAACAUUCCUAACGGGAUGCUAAUACCGCAUGUGACUACGGAGUCGCAUGGCUCUGUAGUGAAAGGUGGCCUCUGUUUACAAGCUACCGCUCAAAGAUGGUCCUGCGUCCCAUUAGCUAGUUGGUGGGGUAACGGCCUACCAAGGCGACGAUGGGUAGCCGAUCUGAGAGGAUGACCGGCCACACUGGGACUGAGAUACGGCCCAGACUCCUACGGGAGGCAGCAGUCGAGAGGCUUCGGCAAUGGGGGAAACCCUGACCGAGCGACGCCGCGUGGAGGAUGAAGGCCUUUGGGUUGUAAACUCCUGUCAUGAGGGAAGAAACGUCACCGUUCGAAUAGGGCGGUGACUUGACGGUACCUCAAGAGGAAGCUCCGGCUAACUCCGUGCCAGCCGCCGCGGUAAUAC
Molecule: ribosomal RNA, 544 nt
Filed under: uncultured bacterium
Lineage: Bacteria
Description: bacterial SSU rRNA
Rfam family: Bacterial small subunit ribosomal RNA
Source: RNAcentral